RNAcentral lists this unclassified non-coding RNA (253 nucleotides) under uncultured Parcubacteria group bacterium. RNAcentral's name for it is "contains 16S-23S intergenic spacer region". It matches the Rfam family "Bacterial small subunit ribosomal RNA", at positions 524 to 776 of the family's 1533-position model. The record is from RNAcentral.
UACGAGGGCCCCGAGCGUUAUCCGGAAUCACUGGGCGUAAAGGGUGUGUAGGCGGUUUGAUUAGUCUCCUGUGAAAUCCUCCGGCUCUACCGGAGACCCGCAGGAGAAACGGUCAAACUAGAGAGCGCAAGAGGUGCACGGAACUCAUGGUGUAGGGGUGAAAUCCGUUGAUAUCAUGAGGAACACCAAAAGCGAAGGCAGUGCACUGGUGCGCUUCUGACGCUGAGACACGAAAGCCAGGGUAGCGAAUGGG